Micropterus dolomieu (smallmouth bass) is the source of this 1927-nucleotide RNA transcript. It is a transcript of the gene named P2X purinoceptor 7, with no coding region annotated. NCBI's taxonomy places the organism in Eukaryota, Metazoa, Chordata, Actinopteri, Centrarchiformes, Centrarchidae. The record is from RefSeq and is a predicted model, not a curated record. The transcript has 7 exons.
GUGUAACAGCCAAUAUAUCCAGAAAGCUUGUUCCUCUCAUCUGAUGUGAUUCCUAGGAAAUGCUGACCUCAAAGUUUUAACUAACAAUUGUUUUCCCUUUUAUUAAAAGCUUAAAACUAAGAAUGGUAUACCCGUUUGACAAUUAAGGUUUGAUUGUGGGACGAUAUCUGAUUACAAUAUGCGCAAAUAGAUCUUUGAUUUGUUUAUUAAAAGUUAAAGAAAAGACUCUCAGGAAACCGGAAACAAGCCCUCCCUCAGGGGAACAAAGGACUGCCCUCUGGGAACCACGCCCCAACAGAUGAAUGCUGUUUUACUCUCUCUUUGUUCUGCCCUCCUCUUGGCCUCAUCAACUGUGCUUUGGCACGCACCCAGCGUGCUUCCCGUCUCCUGGCAACGGCCUAAGAAGUCCGACCCGGUCGAACGAAGUCCCUUUGUUCGUUUUCAAGCAACACCCGCGAAGCUCCACAACCUCGAUUUUUCCCUCGUUUGCUUUUUAUUUUAUUUUGUUUGUUAAAAUUUAUCAGAGCGUUAAGUUACACAAUUUUAAUUCAAGAACGACCAAGUUCUUUUUUUGAAGCUUUAUUCGUCGAGCUAACUUACAUCUGAAAGAACAGCCUAAUUGCCAGACCGAGGACGGUCAACACUUGAGGGAUUUUCUUCAUUCAAGACACGGAAAACACCUGGAAAAUUCCCUAGCAGAAAGCCAGGAAUCGGGCAGCUACCAUGGGGACCUGUGCAACCGACCAAGGCAGGCCGCCGACCCACAAAUAAAAAGGAGAACCAGAGUGAGAGCAAGUCCUGUGUGUGGCCGUGCCAUCCUUCCACGCCAUAGACACAAAAGGGACACACUCAGUCUACAGACGGACGCAGAGGGUUACACUGGUGCCGUGAUUCCGUGAUUCCAGAUCCGUUCUACACAGAUCGCCUGACCAGGAAUGCGCUGUGGACUGAAGUGGUUAGAAGACGUUCUUGGUGGAAGAUCAUCUGUCCCGGAGUUGAUUUAUGGGCAGAUCUGAUGGUUGCAGUUGCAUAACACACAGUUACUGAUUGUGUGCUGUUGAUUUUUAUACCAGGAGAACCAGAGUGAGAGCAAGUCCUGUGUGGCCGUGCCAUCCUUCCACGCCAUAGACACAAAAGGGACACACUCAGUCUACAGACUGACGCAGAGGGUUACACAAGACGUUUCCGAGUGGUGUGCUUGUGAAAACUGCUCGACAAUGCCCACCGAAGUUGAAAACGUCUGUUGCCAAGAAAUACGAAAAGUUGUUAGACGAAUGCAACAGGUUCCUGACCCUCCAACCUGCAUGGUUCACCAUCCAGGCCUGGAGCCAAAGUGUUUGAACUACUACACCUUGCAGAACAUCCACAACAUAUAUCAAGCAGACUACGGACCUUUGAGGCGUCGAACAGAAGAAGAGCGCUACAAGCACCUUGCCUAUCGUAGCUUUGUCAGCUGGUGCUGGGGCUACUUGGGAAGGAGCGUGAGAGUGGUCAUCCCGUCGUGCGUUGUACUCCGAAUACGCCAGCAGUUUCCUGAUCCGGAGGGGCAGUAUGUAGGUUUCCGGCCGCCCCUUAACUAAAGCGGGACACAUGGCGGGCAACCACUUCCUCCUUUGACGGUCUCUCAAACUCUGAUGUCAGGUCUUUGGGGAUGGGGAAAGUCUUUAGCACCUCAACAAAUGGCGCCGGGUCUUCAAAAACCUCCUUGAAGACCAGCUUAAUCAGUUCUUCCACAUAUUCUGUGAAAUAAUGCAGACAAUCACUGAAGUGUUUACAGACUGUUCUCAGAAUCCACUGCCUUUUUACAUAUUUAUAAGGUGGCCAUAAGUUGUUUUUUUUUGUUAUGUUUACAUAACUUGUACCUAUUGUAAUUGUCACUAUUUAUUAUUCAAUACGUUUUGUAACAAUAAAAGUAUUUUACAACUUA